UACGUAGGGGGCAAGCGUUGUACGGAUUUACUGGGCGUAAAGAGCGUGUAGGCGGCCAAACAGGUCCGUUGUGAAAACUGGAGGCUCAACCUCCAGACGUCGACGGAAACCGUAUGGCUAGAGUCCGGAAGAGGAGAGUGGAAUUCCUGGUGUAGCGGUGAAAUGCGCAGAUAUCAGGAAGAACACCUAUGGCGAAGGCAGCUCUCUGGGACGGUACUGACGCUGAGACGCGAAAGCGUGGGGAGCGAACAGG
Molecule: ribosomal RNA, 253 nt
Filed under: uncultured bacterium
Lineage: Bacteria
Description: partial 16S ribosomal RNA
Rfam family: Bacterial small subunit ribosomal RNA
Source: RNAcentral